ACGAACGCUGGCGGCGUGCUUAACACAUGCAAGUCGAACGGAAAGGCCUGGUUUCCCCUGUGGAUUGCGGGUGCUCGAGUGGCGAACGGGUGAGUAACACGUGAGUGAUCUGCCCCCAACUUGGGUAUAAGCCUGGGAAACUGGGUCUAAUUCCCGAUAGGACUGCAGGGUGGUGCCUGUGGUGGAAAACGAUUUUCUAGUGGUUGGGGAUGAGCUCGCGGCCUAUCAGCUUGUUGGUGGGGUAAUGGCCUACCAAGGCGGCGACGGGUAGCCGGCCUGAGAGGGUGGACGGCCACAUUGGGACUGAGAUACGGCCCAGACUCCUACGGGAGGCAGCAGUGGGGAAUAUUGCACAAUGGGCGGAAGCCUGAUGCAGCGACGCCGCGUGGGGGAUGACGGCCUUCGGGUUGUAAACUCCUUUCGACCGCGAGGAAGCCACCUGGUUGGAAGGGUGGUGACGGUAGUGGUAGAAGAAGCACCGGCUAACUACGUG
Molecule: ribosomal RNA, 493 nt
Filed under: uncultured bacterium
Lineage: Bacteria
Description: partial 16S ribosomal RNA
Rfam family: Bacterial small subunit ribosomal RNA
Source: RNAcentral